CAAAUUUCAAACCAUAUGUACAUAACAAAAUUCUUAACAGAUUAUAUAUAUAUAUUAUGGCAAUAUUGCACCUCAUAAAUAAUUUUGUAAAUAUAGUUUUCUGCUACAAUAUAUUUGUCAUGAGUGUUCACCAUUUAUACUUCUUCUCUUUGUAAUCUAAACAUCUAAACUAAUGGAAAAUAAAAUGAAUUUAUCAUGUCAGGUACAUUUUUCUUCAAAUUAAAAGAUAACAAGAAUGUGUCAAAAGUACACGGAUGCCCCACUUGCACUAUAAUUUUCAAUGUUUGAUGGACCGUGAAAUUGGGUAAAAAAUAAUGUGGAAUUAAAAUUAGAAAGAUCAUACCAUAGUGAACAUGUGUACUAAGUUUCAAGUUGAUUGAACUUCAACUUCAUUAAAAGCUACCUUGACCAAAAACUUUAACCUGAAACUCGCACUUUCAUUUUCUAUGUUCGGUGGACCGUGGAAUUGGGGUCAAAAGUCUAAUUUGGCUUUUAAAUUAGAAAGAUCAUAUCAUAAGGAACAUGUGUACCAAGUUUCAAUUUGAUUUGACUUCAGCUUCAUCAAAAACUACCUUGACCAAAAACUUUAACCUGAAGCGAGACAGACGAACAAACGUACAAACAAACGGACGGACGCACAGACCAGAAAACAUAAUGCCCCUCUACUAUUGUAGGUGGGGCAUAAAAAGUUCAAAAUUGUUUAUUAUCACCAUUUGAAGAUCAUUAAUUUGUCUUUAUGAUUUAAUAAACUAAUAAAUGUAUAAAUUUCACCUGGAAAUUAACUGUACAAAUCAACAGAAUAAAAAUUGUAUAACAGAAUAAAUUUGUAUUUAAAUUACCAUUAUCAUUAAAAUAAACAUAAAUCCUAAGAAUCAACAAACAAAGUUAAGAAGCAAAAAUAAUGAAUACAUAUGAAUUUUGACAAUCCUACUAGUAAAUGGUACAUGACAAGUAUAAACACUGACAGUUUUAUUUGUUGAAUGAUUUUCUAUUCCUAUUUCUAACACUGGUUCUGUAUCACAAUGUCACAUUUACAAUAAUAAAUGUAGCAUUGAUUCCCAAAUUUAUAUUUUGCCUAAAAUCUGUACAUGAAUGAAGACAGAUAGAAUUAUUUCAUAACAGCAUGGAUAAGACCAUUUCUUGGCUUGCUCAGGUUGAUUUAAAUACUGAAUACUUAAACUUUCUUUUUUUCUUCUCAGGCACCUGCAUGUACUUUACUCAUUUAUUCUAUUCAAAUCCCUAUUGGAAGGCUUCUGACUGUCUGAGUGAGCAUAAAAUCACUGUUAUCGAUAGCCGAUGACAAACAAUUUAAAUGUAAAUGAUUCAGUAUUAUUACCAACAUAAGUGUUGUUGUAGCACACACUGUUAUGAAAAUGGUUCUACUUGUUUGUAGCUCAAGUGCUAACAAAAUUAUUGAUAAGUCUAUUUCCAGCAUGGUUCAAACUAAAGACACAGUAUAUCCAUAUAGUUUUAAAAAUUUAAAAGUUUUCCUGAUUUUUAUAUUUUAAUGGAUACUAGAACAGCUUUUUUAAAGGUCAAAACCCAAUUAGAUAUUUCAUUAUAUGUUAAGGAAACAUAUAACAGGCUAUUAUUUAAACUUAGAAUUAUUUUUAAUUAUGGAAUUUGCAUAAUUUCUUGUGUUUAAAAUGUUUUGUACUUAAAUGUUCUGUGCUGCGCACAACACUUUCUAUUACAAAGAAAAUAGUACAUUUUCAAUAGAAUGCACUGUGCCGCGCACAACACUAUCUAUACAAAAUGCAUUGUAUGGGAAGUUUUAUGAACUGCUCAAAACAUUAUAAUACCAAAUAAACAUGGAACUUAUUAAAAACUUUAAACACA
Molecule: long non-coding RNA, 1839 nt
Filed under: Mytilus galloprovincialis (Mediterranean mussel)
Lineage: Eukaryota; Metazoa; Mollusca; Bivalvia; Mytilida; Mytilidae
Source: RNAcentral